GUUCCUACGGGGGGCAGCAGUCGGGAAUAUUGCGCAAUGGAGGAAACUCUGACGCAGUGACGCCGCGUAUAGGAAGAAGGUUUUCGGAUUGUAAACUAUUGUCGUGAGGGAAGAAAUUGACAGUACCUCAGGAGGAAGCUCCGGCUAACUAUGUGCCAGCAGCCGCGGUAAUACAUAGGGAGCAAGCGUUAUCCGGAUUUAUUGGGUUUAAAGGGUGCGCAGGCGGCCUGUUAAGUCAGCGGUAAAAGCCCGGGGCUCAACCCCGGCGAGCCGUUGAAACUGGCGGGCUGGAGUUGGAGAGAAGG
Molecule: ribosomal RNA, 305 nt
Filed under: uncultured bacterium
Lineage: Bacteria
Description: bacterial SSU rRNA
Rfam family: Bacterial small subunit ribosomal RNA
Source: RNAcentral